Molecule: ribosomal RNA, 487 nt
Filed under: uncultured bacterium
Lineage: Bacteria
Description: partial 16S ribosomal RNA
Rfam family: Bacterial small subunit ribosomal RNA
Source: RNAcentral
GACGAACGCUGGCGGCGUGCUUAACACAUGCAAGUCGAACGAAAAUACCAAGCUUGCUUGGUUGAUUAGUGGCGAACGGGUGAGUAACACGUGAGUAACCUGCCCCUUACUUUCCUGGAUAACUGCUCGAAAGGGUAGCUAAUACGGGAUAUUCUGACCAGCCUGCAUGGGUUGGUUUGGAAAGGUUGUUUUUCUGGUAAGGGAUGGGCUCGCGGCCUAUCAGCUUGUUGGUGGGGUGAUGGCCUACCAAGGCUUUGACGGGUAGCCGGCCUGAGAGGGUGGACGGUCACACUGGGACUGGGAUACGGCCCAGACUCCUACGGGAGGCAGCAGUGGGGAAUAUUGCACAAUGGGCGCAAGCCUGAUGCAGCGACGCCGCGUGAGGGAUGAAGGCCUUCGGGUUGUAAACCUCUUUCGUCAGGGAACAAGGCACUGCUUUUUGGUGGUGUUGAGGGUACCUGGAUAAGAAGCGCCGGCUAACUACGUG